This 279-nucleotide small RNA is filed under the name Choloepus hoffmanni (Hoffmann's two-fingered sloth). Its description in RNAcentral is "7SK RNA (ENSCHOG00000016064.1)". It matches the Rfam family "7SK RNA". From Rfam's summary of the family: 7SK was discovered as an abundant small nuclear RNA in the mid-70s but a possible function has only recently been suggested. Lineage: Eukaryota; Metazoa; Chordata; Mammalia; Pilosa; Megalonychidae. The record is from RNAcentral.
GGAUUCAGGGGUGUUCUAUUAGGUCUGUAUUCCCAGAUGUUGCACUGCUUAAUUUGGCCAGAGAGCCCCAUCAUCUACUAAUUCUCCAUAUGUUUCCCUCCCAAAGCUGAGAACUUGGUCAAAGUUGAUGACCUCCUCUUUUUGGAGGAGAACUAUAUAUAUAUAUAUAUAGUUUAUAAUAUAAAGUGCAGUUUUAUUUCCCUUUUAGAGCCUCCACACUAACAGCUAAAUGCCACUUGUAGAAGUUCACUUACUAGACAAAUUAGAGCCAAGAACCUU